AGAAUGUAAAACAAUUAAAUAAAAAAAAAUUCUGAAGUAGGCAAUAUUUUCUAAAAGAAAAAUGUAAAUUAGAUUAUCCAGAAAGUGUGGAGCCAGGAAUUCAAGUCUAACUGACCCAAAAGCCCACAUUCUUUCACCAUAUCAUGCCACCUGCCCAUACGGUGUUGAGGGCACAAUUUGUUGAGAGACGUCACACACAGUGCGGAUAGCUGUCUUGGAUAUUAUUUUUCUUCAGAUCCCAUCAACUCUAUAGCAGAAAAAACAGCCUAGAUCAAAGUCCUCGCUACAUAUGAUGACUCAAUAUCCCACACAUGUCCCUUUCUUUAUUGUUUUAACCACAAUAAAGAUUUCAGUGUAAAUGACUUUCCUCUGUGAGUGCUUUAAAGCUGAAAUGUUACUAAAUUCUUAAUUUGGAGGAGGCAUGACUGCAUUCUGAAUUCUGGCGUGAGCUGUGGCUAGAAAACACCCGGAUGGACGGGGAGCGUAACUUGGAAGGAUAUGCUAGUUUCAGUUGAUUUUUCAUGCUGCUCACAGCUCUUUUUAUAGCCUUGGAAACCCAAACUGGCAAGGACAUAAGGGGAGAGGCCAAGUCUCUAUGGUGCAGAUGACUUCAUUCAAAUGCCUCACUGUGGCAUCAGAAUCACGUUCUGUGGCCUCAUCCCCAUGCUCCAAACUGUCCCAUUAGACACCUCUUACAUUAAAACUGGAUAAGACGUCUGGCCAAGCGUCAGCAGAUAGUCAAAUCUCAACUGAUGCCAUUUGUUUCUUUCUACAUUUCCUGUCAUUGCUGACCCCACCAUCCUACAAAGCUGCUGACUUCCCCCUGAUGAUGCUGCCACAUCUUCAGGAAUGCUGCACUUGUCUGGUUCCAACUGCACUCGGAGGCCACCACCAGUCUUUGCUCACAGCCUGCUUCUCAGAGCUUCUUCGAAAUAGCUCACACAGUCUUUGUCCUAAACAUCUGCAAAAAGAAUGCCCAGCCCUAGGAUCUGAUUUAUCCACCAAUGUUUUCUUUAUCAGUGUCUGUGUAUUGUAUCCCUCUUAUUUGGAAGUGAUGUUCUUUCCUCUGAAUGCCUGUAACGUUUUUUUCUGUACCUUGCUCUAUUCACUCCUGUUUUCCAAAAAACUACU
RNAcentral lists this long non-coding RNA (1131 nucleotides) under Equus asinus (donkey). RNAcentral's name for it is "lncRNA (ENSEASG00005023906.1)". Lineage: Eukaryota; Metazoa; Chordata; Mammalia; Perissodactyla; Equidae. The record is from RNAcentral.